AUUGAACGCUGGCGGAAUGCUUUACACAUGCAAGUCGAACGGUAGAGGGGGCAACCCCUCGAGAGUGGCGAACGGGUGAGUAAUAUAUCGGAACGUGCCCAGUCGUGGGGGAUAACGUAGCGAAAGUUACGCUAAUACCGCAUACGAUCUAAGGAUGAAAGCGGGGGAUCGCAAGACCUCGCGCGAUUGGAGCGGCCGAUAUCCAAUUAGGUAGUUGGUGGGGUAAGGGCUCACCAAGCCAACGAUCUGUAGCUGGUCUGAGAGGACGACCAGCCACACUGGAACUGAGACACGGUCCAGACUCCUACGGGAGGCAGCAGUGGGGAAUUUUGGACAAUGGACGCAAGUCUGAUCCAGCCAUUCCGCGUGCAGGAUGAAGGCCCUCGGGUUGUAAACUGCUUUUGUACGGAACGAAAAGGUCUCUCUUAAUACGGGGGACUCAUGACGGUACCGUAAGAAUAAGCACCGGCUAACUACGUGCCAGCAGCCGCCGUAA
This 496-nucleotide ribosomal RNA is filed under the name uncultured bacterium. RNAcentral's name for it is "partial 16S ribosomal RNA". It matches the Rfam family "Bacterial small subunit ribosomal RNA", at positions 30 to 523 of the family's 1533-position model. The record is from RNAcentral.